Lyophyllum atratum is the source of this 102-nucleotide non-coding RNA. The record is from the annotation of a GenBank genome assembly. Lineage: Eukaryota; Fungi; Basidiomycota; Agaricomycetes; Agaricales; Lyophyllaceae.
GCCGCGUUGGCGUAGUGGUAGCGCGUCUCACUCGUAUUACGAUAACUCUCUCUACAUGUUGUAGCGAUGAGAAGGUCACUCGUUCAAUCCGGGUACGCGGCA